UCAGUGGUAUCGCACAUCACUAUUGUUUAGUGCUUGUGAACUUGAGUUGAGAACUAUAGAGAAGGAGAAUAGCGCUAAGGCUACGUAUGCGGGUCGGAGCUACUCACCGAGUUUUUCUUAAAUCCUUGUUCAAGAAAAAGGUUAUGCGUGAAGACACAAAUUGGAUUUUACUCUUCCGCUUGUUGGGAAACGCGGACACUUUUUGUUGAUGCGAUGUACCUCUGUUUUUGUGUUUUUUGUUCAUUUCCGGUUGGUUUUUUUGUUGGAGUCUAAAGUUGCGAGCCAGGAUUCCGGAUCCCCAGCUGCGAUGCAGGAAAGAUUUCCAGCCUACUUAGAAGUGACAACUGCGUUACUUCUUGACAGAUAAGCUUAUGAGAUCUCAGAACAAUACACUACCCGGGUAGUACUACUAACAUUAACACUAUACACACACACUCACACACCUGAACUGAAAAGACUGAAAAGAACUCUGAACACUGAACUCUGAACUCUAAAACUGAAUACACGGACUGACAAAUAUAGACUAUUGGAACUGUUGUGAACUGUUGGAUGAUUGUUUUUGGUUUUGUUUUGAAUAAAUGUUGACUGUUCUUUUA
Molecule: non-coding RNA, 596 nt
Organism: Neolamprologus brichardi
Lineage: Eukaryota; Metazoa; Chordata; Actinopteri; Cichliformes; Cichlidae
Source: RefSeq, a predicted model, not a curated record